Molecule: non-coding RNA, 477 nt
Organism: Paramuricea clavata
Lineage: Eukaryota; Metazoa; Cnidaria; Anthozoa; Malacalcyonacea; Plexauridae
Source: the annotation of a GenBank genome assembly
GCCAUAAUAAGACACGGGAUAAAAGAGUCAUAAUAGCGUAUUAUAGCCGAAAGCUUGAUUUAUAUUUUACGUUUUUUAAACUGUAAAUAAAGAUUUUUACCAGUGCAACACACUACCACUACAAUAAUGAUUAUGUUUUGUUAUGUCAAUUAUUUGGGAGUACAGUUUAAAAAGUAACACCUUCUAAUGUUAUUGCGUACAUAUUAGUGAGGCGGAUAUGUGUAAAAUUAUUGAUCAGUAGUUCCCGUUGGGGUUAGAAGCACCAAACUUUUACAAUUGAUGUAGUUUUAUUUGCUUAAUAGAUAUUUGAAGUGGGGCCAUCGCUAUUUUGCUGCUAACUCCUGAAUUAUAGCCAAAUGUGAAAUUUUGUAUUCAAUUACAACAAAUAUGACUUGCAUCAUCAGAAAGCUUAUAAAAAAUUGCAUAAAAGACGUUUAGACAGUUUUUUGAUUUCUGAAAUAGUUUUCGAAUUAUAAA